RNAcentral lists this ribosomal RNA (433 nucleotides) under uncultured bacterium. Its description in RNAcentral is "partial 16S ribosomal RNA". It matches the Rfam family "Bacterial small subunit ribosomal RNA", at positions 29 to 507 of the family's 1533-position model. The record is from RNAcentral.
AACGAACGCUGGCGGCAUGCCUAACACAUGCAAGUCGAACGAGACCUUCGGGUCUGGUGGCGCACGGGUGCGUAAAGCGUGGGAACCUGCCCUUAGGUUCGGAAUAACUCCCCGGAAGGGGUGCUAAUACCGGAGAAUGUCUUCGGACCAAAGAUUUGUCGCCUUUGGAUGGGGCCGCGUUGGUUUGGCUUGUGGGGAGGGUAAACGCCUGCCAAGGCGACGAGCCGUAACGGGUCUGUGAGGAGGAUCAGGCACACUGGGACUGGGACACGGCCCCGACGCCUAGGGGAGGCAGCGGUGGGUAAUCUUGGACAACGGGCCAGAGCCUGAUCCAGCGAUGCCGCGUGAAUGAUCAAGGCCUUAGGGUUGUAAAGCUCUUUUACCCGAGAUGUUAAUGACAGUACCGAGAGAAUAAGCACCGGCUAACUCCGUG